Non-coding RNA from Aegilops tauschii subsp. strangulata, 1539 nucleotides. The record is from RefSeq and is a predicted model, not a curated record. NCBI's taxonomy places the organism in Eukaryota, Viridiplantae, Streptophyta, Magnoliopsida, Poales, Poaceae.
UUUAUUUUUGUAUUUUGGAGUGUCCCACAUUUGGUGUAAAUAGUCCCAAGUUUUCCUUUUCACUAUGUAAAAUAUUACCAAGCUAAUACCAGAACCACUGUCCGGACUUCUUAAAAGCAUAUGUGCCUAUACUAAAGCAUACUGCCACAUUCAGCUUAUUUAACCUUGGCAGUUUGCUUACCACAUUCGGGCUAGGUUACUGCAUCUGUAUGUAUUGGGAGUAGCCUUGUCGGGAUGGGCUCUAAUUGGUGUGUCAUGUGUAUGCCUCACAGCUUUAGUAUACACUUGAUUACAUUUUAUUGAUGUACACAUAUAUAUGCUCCGUUUGAUCUUUGAAGCCUAGCUUUCAAUUUCUAAAUCAAAAUUGUAGACAUAUGUUAUGCUAAAAGACUUCUGUUCUGCAUGCUUUUGUUAUGCACGCUAUAACACAAUUUGAUUUCAUUUAAUCUUUGAAGCCUAGCUUAGUUUUGCUUACAACAGCUUCAGUAUAGACUUGAAUAGAUAUUUUUCCGGUUACUUUUUUAUGCCUGCUUUAAGUAUCGCGUUUCUUCUGAAAUUGACUCAAAUUAUGAUAUUACGUACAGAAGGGCACAAGGAUGAAUUCAACGCAAGAUCCUACUGGUGAUCCAACAGAUGGGAGCCCAACAGACGCAAACACAUCAGAUGCCUAAGAAAAGGACUGGCAAAUAAAAUAGGAAUCCAAACUUGCAAAAUUCUAUUUUACAGACCGCUAGUACUACUGGGACUCUAGGUACAAGGCACAAUGUAAUUGCUCCAAAUACGCUCAUACAAGUUGCAACAAUGAAUUCUCGAAUGUUUUGAGCAAUGGUAAGUCACAAGGUUGGUUUGUCUUCAUGUUGGCCUUUAUUUGAUACGUAAAUGGCCUUCAUAAUGUGCAAUCAUCUACUUGCUUGCACUAUUGUACUUUUUUUGUUGCUGAAGCACAUACAGUAGGGAAGCCAGAAAUAGAACAGUUUUCUCACCAUUAGAAAUUGUGAACUUGUGCCAGCAUGUAGUUGUUUCGGAGAAAUUUAGUUUGAUUAAUUUAGGUAAUUAUUCUUGUGUUUGAACUAAAUCUUUUGUAAAAUUAUCCAAUUCUUUUUGCAUAGCACCUAAUUGUUGAUGGAGUAGUACACCAGGCACAAGAAUUUGCUUGCUAGCUGUUGUGGUCAUGACAAUUUGUCAGGAAGAUACCCAUGCAUGCACGAAUAUAGUAAUUAUACAAUUGUCAUGAUAGUGGUUAUAUCUUUCUGCUAAUUAUUCGUUGUGUUGUUUCUUUAUUUUCCUGACUAAAUAUUUUCUAUUUUCAAUUAACUUGAGCUAAAUAAAUUUCUGAUUUCUUCAUAGCGGGAUCCAAAGAUUUAGCUUGAAUGGACUCUAGACCACGGACAAUUUAAUCUUUGCUCUUAAUUAGGAUGGCACAUUCAGUAUGUUGAAUGCAUGCAAAAUUAUAUUACAGUUUAUUGUGAUGGAUAUUGGGUAUGCAAACUUUGAUGUCUGAUGAAUCUACAUCAUAUAUGCAUUAUUUGAAUUUUGUAA